CAUUGCCACAUACCACCCUGAAUGCGUGAGAUCCGUCUGAUCUCGGAAGCUAAGCUGGAUCAGGCCUGGUUAGUACUUGGAUGUGAGAACUGCUGCGGAUUCCAGAAGUUGUCCAUGA
Molecule: ribosomal RNA, 118 nt
Organism: Capra hircus (goat)
Lineage: Eukaryota; Metazoa; Chordata; Mammalia; Artiodactyla; Bovidae
Source: Ensembl